AAAAAUUUACAAAGCAAAAAGGAUACACGAUUUUUAAAUAUUAUUUUUGGUGAUACUCCGCCAUCGCAGUUGUAAAGUUCGACGAGUACGAACUCUUUUUUUUUUUUUUUUGACGAGUAAUAACUUAUAACUAAGCAAAGAGUGUUAUAGUGUGAAUAUGUUUUGGCUUUGUGGAGAUUUUGAACUCAACCACUAGUAGACUAGUAGUAACUUGUUCGUGUCAAUAAAACUGAAGCAUGCUAAAGAAAAAAAGAAAAAAAAAAAACAAAAAAACUGAAGCAUGCUUCUUCUUUGAAUGGUCAAUAAGUCAAAAUAACUCACAAACAUGCGAGGAGGGCGCUCGAGUCUUGACUUAUCCUACCACACAGAGAUUAGAUGCUGACUCAGCGGCUGUCGACUAAUUGGACACGCUUCUUCGAUUCUCCUCCCAC
RNAcentral lists this long non-coding RNA (431 nucleotides) under Capsella rubella. Its description in RNAcentral is "long non-coding RNA (CRUB_LNC004525)". The record is from RNAcentral. Lineage: Eukaryota; Viridiplantae; Streptophyta; Magnoliopsida; Brassicales; Brassicaceae.